Molecule: ribosomal RNA, 365 nt
Filed under: uncultured bacterium
Lineage: Bacteria
Description: bacterial SSU rRNA
Rfam family: Bacterial small subunit ribosomal RNA
Source: RNAcentral
GACGAACGCUGGCGGCGUGCUUAACACAUGCAAGUCGAGCGGUAAGGCCCCUUCGGGGGUACACGAGCGGCGAACGGGUGAGUAACACGUGAGCAAUCUGCCCUUCACUUUGGGAUAACUCUGGGAAACGAGAGCUAAUACCGAAUACGACCACUUCAGGCAUCUGAUGGUGGUGGAAAGUUCCGGCGGUGAAGGAUGAGCUCGCGGCCUAUCAGCUAGUUGGUGGAGUAACGGCCCACCAAGGCUUCGACGGGUAGCCGGCCUGAGAGGGUGACCGGCCACACUGGGACUGAGACACGGCCCAGACUCCUACGGAGGCAGCAGUGGGAAUAUUGGACAAUGGGCGAAAGCCUGAUCCAGCAACG